GACAGAGGGUGCAAGCGUUAUUCGGAAUUAUUGGGCGUAAAGGGCGCGUAGGCGGCUCGGUAAGUCGGAUGUGAAAUCCCAGAGCUUAACUGGGGAACUGCGUCUGAUACUGGAUGGCUUGGAUUCGGGAGAGGAAUGCGGAAUUCCAGGUGUAGCGGUGAAAUGCGUAGAUAUCUGGAGGAACACCGGUGGCGAAGGCGGCAUUCUGGACCGACAUUGACGCUGAGGAGCGAAAGCCAGGGGAGCAAACGGG
RNAcentral lists this ribosomal RNA (253 nucleotides) under uncultured bacterium. RNAcentral's name for it is "partial 16S ribosomal RNA". It matches the Rfam family "Bacterial small subunit ribosomal RNA", at positions 524 to 776 of the family's 1533-position model. The record is from RNAcentral.